RNAcentral lists this ribosomal RNA (209 nucleotides) under uncultured bacterium. RNAcentral describes it as "partial 16S ribosomal RNA". It matches the Rfam family "Bacterial small subunit ribosomal RNA", at positions 568 to 774 of the family's 1533-position model. The record is from RNAcentral.
UGCGUAGGUGGUUUGUUAAGUCUGAUGUGAAAGCCCUGGGCUCAACCUGGGAACGGCAUUGGAAACUGGCUUACUAGAGUGCGGUAGAGGGGUGUGGAAUUCCCGGUGUAGCAGUGAAAUGCGUAGAUAUCGGGAGGAACAUCUGUGGCGAAGGCGACACCCUGGACCAGCACUGACACUGAGGCACGAAAAGCGUGGGGGAGCAAACA